This is a small nucleolar RNA of Sciurus carolinensis (gray squirrel), 125 nucleotides long. RefSeq annotates it as small nucleolar RNA SNORA14. Lineage: Eukaryota; Metazoa; Chordata; Mammalia; Rodentia; Sciuridae. The transcript has a single exon. The record is from RefSeq and is a predicted model, not a curated record.
AAGUCUGGAAAACCUCCUGGGUCGCUUUUCGCCUUUUACGACCCUGGCAGUUUUGAAGACUAGAGUCAGGGCACAUUGGGCCUGGGUGCCUCUUCUGUGGCCUCAACUCAUGUUGUGCCCCUGUG